UCUACGGAAAUGAGCUGUCUCUUUUUGGUUAUAUUGAAGUUUCUUUAAGGGUGCAAAGUCCCUUGAUUAGAAAAAAGACGAGAAGACCCUUAGAGUUUUUAUUAAAGAUAAGAAUUUAUUCAAGUUUUUGCUGGGGCGGCAAAGAGACAAGUGAUUAAACUCUCUUUUUAUUGUUUUUAGAAGACGAAAAUGUUAAGAAUCAUUAAACUACCUUAGGGAUAACAGCAUAAUUAAAUUUUAGUUUGUGACCUCGAUGUUGGACUAGGAAGGCUUUUGACCAGCAGUCAAAAAGUGUGGUUCUGUUCGAACUAG
This 312-nucleotide ribosomal RNA is filed under the name Peronia verruculata. RNAcentral describes it as "partial large subunit ribosomal RNA". The record is from RNAcentral. Lineage: Eukaryota; Metazoa; Mollusca; Gastropoda; Systellommatophora; Onchidiidae.